Molecule: unclassified non-coding RNA, 1251 nt
Filed under: Stegodyphus dumicola
Lineage: Eukaryota; Metazoa; Arthropoda; Arachnida; Araneae; Eresidae
Description: tropomyosin-like, transcript variant X1
Source: RNAcentral
UGUCUGUCUAUUUAUUUGUGUGUGGGAGUCUGUAAAACUAGUGGAAUAAAAUAUUUAACUUCACGGAAGCGUUGACUGCAACUCAUUUAAAAUUUGUGUUACUGACAAUGAGUGGUAAUGGUCAGAACCAUCAGGUACCGAAAGAAAAUGAUGAUGCUGGUGAUGGACCAGAAGAAGAUGAUGAUUUUGGUGAAUUCGAAGGAUUUGAAGGUGGAAUAGAACGAAUGCAGGCACAACCUGCACCUUCACCAUGGGCAACUUUUCCAGAUUUACUACCUGUUCAAACAAGCCCAGCUACCCCUGCAGAUGAUGGACAAGCUUCUUGCUCCAGGAUAUCAAAUGCACCUUCGCGAGAAGUUUGGCAGCCAGCUGCUCCUGUUUUGCCAUGGCCAGGACCUAGCACUAGUCGAGAAGAUCCACGACCUAUGCCUCAGCAAAUGCGUACUCUUAAUCCACCAGAUGUUUCUCUGGGCACAAAUCAAGCAGUUGGUGGACGUGUAACACCAGAUAAUGUCCAUGAUGCUGCUCUUGCGGUUGUAAUGGACCACAUGGAUGGUGGAAUGGUUGAUCCCAGAUUACCUCUUGCGCAAGCAGAUAUGUUAAAUAUACAACUAGAAAAUGCAGAAAAUGAGAGAGCUCAGCUAGAAGAACAAGUUGAUGGACUAAGACAAAGAAAUAUUGAACUAGAGCAGCAAGUUAAUAGCUUUCAUGCUCAAGUUAAUGAGCUGAAUACUAGACUACAAAGAAAUCAGGAAAUACUUGAGCAACAGUUGUCUGAAAUGAGACAGUUUAAUAAUGCUGAUUGGAGGCAAGAUCUCAGGCGAAUGCAGGAGGAAAUGAUGGCCAUUAAACAAUCUCAGAUCACUGAAAGGAGUGAAUUAGAAGCAUCGAGGAAUAUGCUAGAAGAAAUGAAGACUAUAGUUUGUAACAAAUUACAAACCUUAGAGUCAAAUUUAUAUAAAGAAUAUGCUGAAAUGGAAAAAAGGUUGUUUAAAAAAUUUGAUGACCAGUGCCAUGAAGUGAAAGAAGCAGUACAGAAUGUCAUUCAAGAAACUACACAUCAAGUCUCUGGAAAUUUAUCACAGCUUGUUUCUUUUCUGUUUUAGGAAGCAUGUAAAUUCAGAAAAUGUAUCUGUGCAUAAAUGAAGACAAUUAAGCAAAAAAGCAGGAAGUUGUACAGAAUCCUAAUUGUGGAGAACACCAGGGAAAUAAUUUAUUACAAUCAAUCAAAAUAGAACUAGAAAAACAUAA